RNAcentral lists this long non-coding RNA (9428 nucleotides) under Capsicum annuum. Its description in RNAcentral is "long non-coding RNA (CANN_LNC016434)". Lineage: Eukaryota; Viridiplantae; Streptophyta; Magnoliopsida; Solanales; Solanaceae. The record is from RNAcentral.
AUCACUCUCCUUCUCCUCUUAGCCCAAAUCUCUAAUAGAGUGGAUGGAAAUAAAAUCCUAUUUGACAGAAUGAGACCCCUCUUAGAUGUCAAUUCCUUCAUAGAAGCAGUUAAUGCAUUAAUAGCAUUAAUUACUACAUUAUGUUUCGCCUUGCAGUCUUGACAUUUGCAUGCAGAACAUUCGCUGGGAGAGGCAAAAUCUAUAUAACCGGUAUGAUCAUACUUAAAAUGUUUUUCUUUAAAUACUAUAAGAGGAGAAUCAUUAGCACUAGGGGUGUUCAUGGUUUGGUUAAAAAUCAAACCGAACCACGAACCAAACCAAACUGAUUGAAAAAACAACAUUUGGUUUGAUUUGGUUUGGUUUUAAAUUUUAAAAAUCGAUACUUAUGUGGUUUGGUUUUGGUUUUACUCUAAAAUAACUGACAAAGUAACUAAACCAAACCGAUAUAUAUAUAUAUAUAUAUAUAUAUAUAUAUAUAUUAUUAAUAUAUUAUUCAUGAAUAAAAAAUAAAUAUUUUGUUACAUUUUAAAUUUUAAUCAUGAAUUAACUUUAACCAUAACACUUUUAGUCAUAUGUCUCCAUCUAGUUGAUAGUAAAUUAUAAAGUUAUAAAUGAUUUUCGCACUUUGAAUAACAAAUGAUACUAUUUGUGAAAAUUAUCUUGUUGUCUAGGGAAUUUUACAGCUGAAUUUAAUUAGAUUAUAAAUAAUCACUAAUUUUGAACUUUAAUAAUCACUAAUUUUGAACUUUCUUUUUGGUUCCUAGUGAGGAAAAAAUUUUAUGUGUUCACCUUUUGGGAAAUUUAUUAUAUCGUUCUCUUAUAUGUAGUUUCAAAAUAAUUUUUGUAGAAGCAUUCAUAUGGUGUUGUACGUGGUUUUGCCUGAAUAUAAUAUUAAAUUAACAUCUUAGUUUCAAGAUUAGGGCACAACACUAUGUUUGAUUGGAUUUGUUUUUACAAAAUUUUAACUUUAUCAUUAGUUAAAGUUAUAAACCAAAAAAACCGAAUCAAACCGAACUAAACCGACAAGAACCAAACUGACGGUUAUUUUCUUGUGUUGGUUUGGUUUGAUUUUUGAAAUUUAAAAACCGAGUAAGUUGGUUUGGUUAUGAUUUUAACCAAUAACCAACCCAAACCGACCCAUGAACACCCACCACUACCACCACCAACAGCUCCAUCACUACUAAGACCAUCAAUAACAACAAACUCACCCUCCAAAAUUAUUUUUCUUGUAAUUGCUGUUGCUCCAAAUAAUUUUAUUUUUAUUCUGUCGAUGACCUUAGGGUCCAAUAAAAUUUGAACAGACCAGAAAGUAAGAAAAAAUGGCAUCUUCAACUCUCAAUUGGGAACUAGAGACGGAUGAACAAUCUAACAUAAAUCAUUACAUAUAUUAGAAUGAUGAUUAGAUAUUCAAAAAAAAUUAUUAAUUAAAAAAAAUUAAUUAUAAUUAUAGUUACUGCAUUCUUCGGGGGUUGAAGAGAUCAAAAAAUUUUGCAUUUUUAUCAGUUUUGGACGACAACCAUCUCAAGAUUCUUGGACAGGAAACUCCUUCCUGGUAGUUCACUUGCUGUCUCAAAUAAGGAAUGACUUCAAAUGCCCAAGCCUAUAAAAUAACGCCAAUAAAUAAAAACCAUUAUUGAAUAAAAAAAUGAAUGAUAUCAUAAUAGAAGAAAAAACAUUUACCAUAAAAGUCAAUGGGAAGCCAUAUAAGUUGACUGUCUUUGGCGCUAAAGGAGUCAACAAAUAUUUGACAGUCAUUUUGAAGCUUUCAUAACCCCAAGAAUAGCUGUUAAACGCCUCAAGAUCCUCGGAGAGAUUUAUUAAACUGAGGCUUAUGUUGUUGUUAACGUCUCUCGCCCAAAGAAUAUUAUGUACAAACCAAACAAAGCCCAAUGACUGCUUAUGCUUCUUUGAAAGUCCUUUUCCUUUCAACGCUUCUAUAAAAAUUUUUGUUUUUGAAGCUUGGACCAACAAUGGAAACCAGGUCAUCACGAUCACAUGACUUUUCUUUGUCUUUUUUGGGUGUGCGGGGUGUUUUUUUUGUUAGAAUAGGUAUAACUUGAGAAGGAGUAUAAUAUUUUAGUCAAGUAACUAUGGCAAACUCCUUCCAACCAAAACAAAUAGGCAUGCCACAGUAAUUUAUCCACACCUCAUCCAUCUUAUCUUUGUUUUCAUACAUAAACCUACGCUUGAGAAGUUCAUAUACCAUUUUCAUUUGGAAACGAGCAUUGUUGUCCUCCGGCAAAUCAAGAUAUUUCUCAAAGCAGCUAUCCCUGAAAUAAGCAUUCAAUUUUUGUUCUCAAAGUAUUUUUCUGAAAGCGUCGAAAGAUUUUUCCAUGACUGACUUAACCACGAAAUCACCCGUUAAAUUUGUGACACCAUCGCACUACAUUCUCAUAGAAUAACGACCAAUGCUGAAGGCUUUGACCAACUCUUCGGUGGAAGGGCUAUUUGUAUUUGCAUCAUCUCUUUUGAAAUAUUCAUCCUCCCCGUGUUCAUCAAAUACUGCUUCCGAUUGAGAUAACGCUUGUAAAGCAAGCUCAUAGAGUGGUGGAUGUAGCCUAGAUGUUUCACUUGUUCCUUUACUUGGAAUUGAUUUGGUUUCUGUUCUUUUGGGAACUAUAUUAUCUUAAAUUAACAGGAACAUAAAAAAAAUAUAUUAUAGUUGAUUAAUGCAUCGUUUAAAAAAGGAUAGCAAUUAAUCAAACAAGCAAAAUAGUAAAAUAACAGUUGCAAUAGAUCACUGAUCUGUUGCACCGGGUAGUAUAUCUAUUACAGCAUAUAACCAACCUGUUGCAGCGAAUGAGUAAUCUGUUGCAAUAAUACAAAGCAUAUCAUUCAUCUUUUAAGACAGAUGAGUGGUCUGUGCAAUAGAUCACACAUUAUUGCGAUAAUUCAUCUGUUGAGAAAUAUGAAUGGUCUGUACAACAGGUCACACAUCUGUUGCAACACACGAGUGAUCUGUUGGAACAGUUAUGUAGCACCCCACAUUUUGGGCUAGAAUGAAAACCGUUAUUUCUAUGCUUAGAUGAUCCAAAAGCCUUAAAUCCUACGCAAAUUUGGCAUGUUAAUCAAUUAUGGAGUGUGGGAACCUAUUUGAGCAUGAAUUGAGAUCAUAGAUGUCCCCCAACUCAAGGACGAGUUGAAAGCUUUCCUAUCGUUUGAGUUGAGUGAGUGUUAAAACUUGGGUCAACUUCAAUCGAUCAUAACUCUUUAUAUAUAAAUAAUUACAGGGCCUACUAUAUAUCAAAUGAAAUCUCUUCAAAUUAUCUUUCCAAUAAUAUCAAUUUUUCCAAAAUCUGAUACCUGAGCAAAAAGUUAUGGCCAUUUUCAUUAGAGACAGUAAGCUAGGGUGAUAAACAAGGUGGCGCGCUGCCUAUUCCUGCCAGUGUAAUUUCCUGCAGUCAAGCUUCACGUUCAAGAGGGGUAUUUGGGUCAUUUCCACCCUUAAACAACCCCAAUAACACGAGAUUCAGCCUCUAAUAACCAAAUUAUACCCUCAUUCUCUCAAAUUCUCUCAAGAACACUUCUUAGGAUUUUAACCCAAAGAUCAAAAUAUCUUAAGAUUUUACCGUGGGUUUUCAAUAAUUCUUCGAGAUUCAAAAUUUCUAUUGCGAGGGCUACAAGAAGCAUCCAUCAAUUGUUCGAAUAGCAUCCCUAAAGCACAACUUCAUUCAAGAGUCAUAAAUUAAGGUACGUGGGGUUUUUCUAAAAAUUCAUGGGCAAAGAAACCUUCUUUAAUUCAAGCUAAAGGUUUAUAAAUCAUUAUUUUUUCGAAAAGGGUUUGAAUUUUACUAUUACUAGCAUGUUUUAAAAUCCUUGAUUAAUAUUUUUUUGGUCUUUAGGCCUUCCCCUUAAGUGAUUUGAAAUCUUACAUAUAUAUAUGUAUGUGUUUUAAGUUGAUAUUUGAAUUGAGAGCAUGACUCACAUGAAAUUCCUCUCUUGAUAUAAUUUAUCUCAUUUUUCAUAUGAUAUGGAUUGUUUUGAAAUGCAUCUUGAAAACAUGAUACAGAAUGUAUUGAUUUAUACUAUGACUUGAAUAUGAUUUUAGAAUCAAUAGACAAGGUUGUGCAUGUUGAUAAAUAUUGAAUAUUCAUAUAAUGAAAGGGUUGCAUGGUUUUGCCAAAAGCACAUAACCACCAUAUGUUUGAAGAAUUCUUGCAUAGUUUUGACUUAUGUUUUAGAACAUGAAAUCUCUUAUACUAUUUGCAUGUUUGGGUGGUCUGGAUUGAGUUUUAAUGAAAAAAUCAUGCAUAAUAUAUUAUGGCUCAGAAAUAGGACUUACAAGUCUUAGUGUGACGACUCCAACUCAGAUAAUGCCAUGGUAAUUCAGAACAGAAUAGAAUGCAUGUUUGAAAUUACAUUUUUAGAUUUUGAAACUAGAAUGAUGCAUGUUUCAGAACAGGCUAAAAUUAGGCAUAAAGAGAGCUUAGGUGGUUUCCCAAAUAAGGCAUGAGUUCAGACAACUCAUUGCCUAAAAUCAUGUUUUGCCAAUACGGGUAUAUUAUUGUAUACUAGCGACGACCCCGUGGCUUAGUAGAUUUAGAGACUCCAACCCUUGCAAAAAACUUAGGUUGGGGGAUUCAUCGCCAAGUCAAUUGCGGAUUCCAUAUAGCCCGUGGAAUAUCAGAUGUGUAGGGUAGUGCCACCUAACUCAGCAAAGAUCAGAAAUUGCAUUGACAGAAAAGUUUUAUGAUUAUAAAAAAUGCCCAUGUGUUUUGAAAUGAUAUAUUUCGUGAUGAUUAUGACAAUCUCUCAACUAUUUUAUUUAUAUACAAGAUUUAUUUUGGAUUUCUUCUCGUACCAGUACAUUUGUAUUGACCCCCUUUCUCCCAGGGUUUAAAGCUCAGUUCAGAGGUUCUGCAAGGCCGUAGAGUUUUCAGACAACAGUGAUAUGUGCAGUUGGUGAGCCUUCUUUAUUUCAGAUGGCCUAUGUCUUUCAGAUUAUGUUAUUUAUUUUGGUUUAGGUCCACUGGAGGCCUUGUCCCAGUUUCAGACAGUUGUCAUUUUCAUAUGUAGUAAAGAUUUCGCAGACUGGUUCAGAUGUUGUGUAGUUGAUAUUGGAUUUCAUUUUUCAUAGUUUAAUUAAACUCAGAGUAUGACCAUGUUUCUGUAAUGAUUUACAAUUUUGCAUCUUCUAUUAUAAUUUAUGAAUAUUGUGCAUGAUUACUAGAUAGAGAAGGGCGCCCGGGCCUUCAUGGUUUGGGAUGCUCGUCACGGCCAGAGCCCGAUUUGGGUCAUGACAAGUUAUCAACGGUCAAUAUUGUUUAGAUUUCUUUCAACAUAGGGUCGUCUAUCAAGGCAGAUGAAUGAUUAGUUGGAAAAAUCAAGUCUUGGAUAUUUUCUGUUGGAAGAGUUGAUAGGAUUUUAUCCAAUAGGAGGUUUAUUUGUUGCAUCAGAUCAUUAAUCUGAUGGUUCUUCCAUUGCAUUAGAUGGUUAAUUAGUUGCAUCAGAUUUUCAUCCGAUGCUCAAUUUGUUGCAACAUAUGGUUAAUCUGUUGCAUCAGAUAGUUAAUCCGUUGCAUCAAAAUUAUAACCUGAUAGUUCCUCUGGUGCAUCAGAUGGUUGAUCUGUUGCAUCAUAUGAUAAAUAUGUUGCAUCAGAUAGUUAAUAUGUUACACCAGAUGGAUAAUUUGUUGGACAAAAUACAAAACAGUAGCACGAUUUUGUUCAACAAAAAACAACAAUUUCACCAUUUUUACCAAGAACAAGAAUAGAACAAAUCAAUCCAAAUUGUUGUUUUGUUUUUAUAAACACAAACAACAAAAAUCAAACUUCAAAAAAAUGUAACAAACAACAAAAAAAAUCAUAAUUCACUUCGAAAAGAGAAGAGAAGAAAUAUCAAAAAUUAGAGUUUUAUUCGGACCGCAUUUCAUAUCAGAAUAAGUUCCUCGUUUUCUUCAAAACUAAAAAGGCCAUAAAUUUUUACCUGUGAAAGAAGAAAAGGAAUGAUGAAGAAUUCAAAGUUGUUGUUGCCGGAGAGCAAGGCUGUCACGUCGAUUGAAGGUUGAAGUUGAAAAGAAACUCGUAGCCCAACUAUUUGUGGUCGGAUGUUGAAGUCGCCGAGGAUUGAAAUGAGAAAUUUGCAGAACAGUUGGUUGAGAGAGAGUUGAGAGAAACUGUCAAGAGUGGGAUGAGAGACAUGUUGAUUUGAAUUGAAAAGGGGAACUCGAAGCCCAACUAUUUGUCACCGGAGGUAGAAAUCACCGGGGUUGAAGGGAGAAAUUUUGUAGAACUUUCGGUUAGAAGAGAGUUGAGAGAAGCUGUCGAGAGAGAUGAGAGAGUGGUUGAUUUGGAUCGAAGAGGGGUGUGGGUUGGGUUGAUUUGUAUUUUUGAAAAGAUUAGAAAGUUUUGAAAAUAUUAAUCAAGUCCACAAUUAACUUAAUCAAGUUUUCUAAUGAUGUUUGACCCUUUAAGUUGGUCAAUGUCCCCAAUCCUUCAUUCAAGACUUAAAAGACACAUUUCCUUCAAUUUUUCCGUAUAACUUGAAGAAUAAAAUAACCUAUUUAAAAAAAAUAGAUUGUACAAUUUUUUUUACAUCAUCAAUAUAUAUGGAUUAAAUCAAUUAAAUAAUAUGUAUAGUAGUAGUUAAUUAGGAAAAGCAAAGGGCGGCAGUAUAUAUAAUUUAGUGGAAGUGCCAAAGGGAUAUCCUUUGGAAGAUGCUUAACUUGCUUUCUUUUGUUCUUCACUUUACCCAAAAGUGACCACACAUUCACUCAAGUCAAUUCACUCUUUUGUUGCCCACCUGACCAACAACAAAAUAAAAUUAUUAGCAAAGAGGCGGUUUCAAGAUUUAAAUUCAUAAUAUUUUUUAAAUUAUGGGUUUAUGAGUAUAUUGUUGUUUAGUUUGUUGAAAUUCUAAUGAAUUCCUACAUUAUCAAUUUAUGUUUCAGAUCGAAAUUAGUAUUAGAUUCGGAUGAAUCUAACGGUUUAAUAUUGUAUUUGUAGUUAUAAUAAAUACAUAUCCUUUUCCUAAAUUCUAUCAUUUCACAAUCAUAAAUUUAGUGGUAUAAUUUGGUAUAUAUAUUGAGUGUAAACUUUUCUUUUUCUACUAGCUAGUUAUCAAUACCAUGAUGUGGCAAGUAAGACUUGUUCAAAUAGUUGCGCACUUUUACUAUUAAUAGAUAUGUUAAGAUUUUGUGUCAUGAGUGGGAUGAAGAAAAAAAAAGCAACACCAUGAUAUGACAUGUGAGGCUUGCUUAAGUAGUUGAACAGCCAUCAACCCUCAUUCAUUCAGAUGAAUUGCUUUCAACGAAAAAUUAUACUAUUUUUGUAUGGUUAGAAAAAUAUUUUUUAUGUAUAUAUAAUAGAUGUUGAAUUCACUUCGAUUAGUUCAUAUAUUUACUUUUGAAUUUUCUAGCUCAAUAAAAAUCUUGAUCCAAUCUAUUUAUUAAUAUCUUAAGGAUUUGUUUCACUCAGAAGAAUAAGGGAGAACACUAUUGAUUCUCUCAUGAGUGGAAUGAAAAAACAAAAAAGACAACACCAUGAUGUCCACAUGCCUCUAUAAACAACAAGCCAAACCUUCCUAUUCAAACCCUCCACCCCAUCCCCUUCACUCUCUCUCUCUUUAGACUGUUCCUUUGUGUUUGAGUUCUUGAUCAUGAGCAGCUAGCCACCCCUUUGCCGUCAACUCGUGAUGGCAAAGGGGUGGCACGCGCGUAGCCCAAGACUCACUAUUGUUGUCUGGAGGGAGCUGCUGGUGAUUUUGUCUACUUUUAUCUUUGUCCCAAGGUAAGGAAAUUGCCAUUUUAUUCAAUUUUAUGGUGAUUUUCUAGUUAUGAAUAGGGCAACUUGUAUCCUUUGGCAUUUUCACUUCCCUUUGAGUACUCUCUUAAUGAGCUCUUGGAAGUUUUUAACUAUAGUAAAACAAUAAUUCAAGUAGGAUUUGUGUAGUCCUAUUUGUACUUUGUUGAACAUGUUUGGUGUAUUAAUAAAUGUUGUGUAGUACUUUGGGAAGAACUAGUUGAACAUGUAUUACUAGUAUAUAUUUGGCCAGUACUGGCUAUAAUAAUUAAAGUAUUGUUUUCUGUUAAUGUUUGAAGAGUGUUUAUUAUACAUUGUUGUUGACUUCGUACAUCAUGUUUUUGCGUAUAGAUGUUGCAAUAUAAUAUAAUCAAUAAAUAUUGAAGAGGAUAUGAAAUUUUUUAUUUAUUUUUUUAAAAUGUUUGAUAACUUCAAUUGUUACUUUCAUGCCUCGACGUGAUUGGAAAUGUAUAAAUAUUUUCGUGUGUUUAACAAUGAGGUUUGUUAAGCCAUGUUGGUCACUAUCAUAAUUUGUAGUUUGAUACUUAAUUAAGCUAAUUGCACUUUAUGUUGCAAAAUACCUUGGGUAUAAUAACUUGAAUGGAAUUAUCCUCUUAUCUUGUGAUUACAAGUGUAGAUUGUUCAUUUGUGCCAUUUUCUGACUAAGAGAUGCUGGAUCUUACUUUUUCUUAAAUGUAAUAAUUAUUACGUUGAGCCUUGAAGAAUAGACAAUCACUUGUUAUUACGUUAAAAAUAAAAAAUAAAAAAAUUCAAGAUAAAAUGAAAUGAAUCAAAAUAUAAUUAAGUUUAUAGCGUAUUGUGCAAACACGAUUAGAAAGUGAUUUAACCUGCGUGAUUAGUGGUGAAAGAGGGAUAGGUCCCUAGAAGGAUUUUAGGGAAUAGAAAGGACAAGUGAAUUAUAGAGCUAAUUAAGAUAAGAGGAAAUUAGAGAUUUUGCCCAUUGAGAUUGAGCAUGACGAGCCACAACUGAUCCAAUAUUGAGAUAAAAAAGGAAAAACUUCCUUAGAUUACAACCCCUCACCCCACGCACCCCACCCCCACAAUAUAUAUACACACAUUUUUUGUUUGUGUCAAGACGAAUUUUACACACAUAAUUUAAGCACUCUUUUUCACAGAGUUUGAUAGUCAUAAUGUUAUCAUGAUGUGCUGAAAUAAUGGAGACACAAAAGGUAAUAACAAGUGCUACAUGUACUUAGACUUAGAUUAGCACUACUUAAUACAUACUCCUUGAAUACUAGUAUUCUCUUUGUUUCUAUUUACUUGUCACCCUUCUAAGUUGCACAUGUAGUUAAAAAAUUAUUCAAUAAAAUUAUUCUUAUUUAUUACUCAUCUUUAUUUAAUGCUUUUUUUUUUUUUUAUAAUAUACUAAUAUCUCUUCAUAUUUAUUACAAAGGAUAAAAGUAAAAAAAAAUCGAUUGUGUCUUGAGUUUAUGAAAUGACUAGUAUAAGGAACAUCUAUUUUUAGCAUGCACGACAACUAAUUAGGAAAGGUGAGAGUAUCAAUUUAUGUGACACCAUUUGACUUGACAUAAAAAUUAAGAAAGAAAUGAAAUAUCUUAAAAUUUAUGAUCUAAAACAAGUCUUAGACAUUUAAAUAACUAUAAAUCAUAUCAUUGAAGAUAAAAGAGGUAUUUUGAAAUUAAAUUCUUUUUAAUUACAGAAAGACGG